This 784-nucleotide long non-coding RNA is filed under the name Mytilus galloprovincialis (Mediterranean mussel). The record is from RNAcentral. Lineage: Eukaryota; Metazoa; Mollusca; Bivalvia; Mytilida; Mytilidae.
GGGGGGGGGGGCUAGGAUGAAAUUUGAAAAAAAUAGGCAGGACAGGAGUUUUGAGUGAGAAAAAAAAGGCAGGAUGAGACACUUUGCCAAAAAAAAAAGGCAGGAUGACAAUUUAGGUAAAAAGAGUCAGGAUAAACUAAUAAAAAAAAAGGCAGGACCGAAUAGAGUGAAAAAUAAAAAGGCAGGACAGAGAUUACAACUAAAAAAAAUGCAGGACAAAAUUUUUCAUCCUAGCCCCCCCAUAAAAAUUUGAUGAAAUUUGAAAAAAAUAGGCAGGACAGGAGUUUUGAGUGAGAAAAAAGGCAGGAUGAGACACUUUGCCAAAAAAAAAAGGCAGGAUGAGACACUUUGCCAAAAAAAAAGGCAGGAUGACAAUUUAGGUAAAAAGAGUCAGGAUAAACUAAUAAAAAAAGGCAGGACCGAAUAGAGUGAAAAAUAAAAAGGCAGGACAGAGAUUACAACAAAAAAAAAAUGCAGGACAAAAUUUUUCAUCCUAGCCCCCCCCCCCCCCCCCCCCCCCCCAUAAAAAUUUGAUGAAAUUUGAAAAAAAUAGGCAGGACAGGAGUUUUGAGUGAGAAAAAAAGGCAGGAUGAGACACUUUGCCAAAAAAAAGGCAGGAUGAGACACUUUGCCAAAAAAAAAGGCAGGAUGACAAUUUAGGUAAAAAGAGUCAGGAUAAACUAAUAAAAAAAAGGCAGGACCGAAUAGAGUGAAAAAUAAAAAGGCAGGACAGAGAUUACAACUAAAAAAAAUGCAGGACAAAAUUUUUCAUCCUAGCCCCCCC